Molecule: non-coding RNA, 104 nt
Filed under: Paraglaciecola arctica BSs20135
Lineage: Bacteria; Pseudomonadati; Pseudomonadota; Gammaproteobacteria; Alteromonadales; Alteromonadaceae
Also listed under: 1 other name
Description: Glaciecola sp. BSs20135 TPP riboswitch aptamer (THI element)
Rfam family: TPP riboswitch aptamer (THI element)
About the family: Vitamin B(1) in its active form thiamin pyrophosphate (TPP) is an essential coenzyme that is synthesised by coupling of pyrimidine and thiazole moieties in bacteria. The previously detected thiamin-regulatory element, thi box was extended, resulting in a new, highly conserved RNA secondary structure, the THI element, which is widely distributed in eubacteria and also occurs in some archaea.
Source: Rfam by way of RNAcentral
UUAGCAACCAAGGGGAGCCAUUUGGCUGAGAUUUGAGGAAAGACUCAUCAACCCUUAUACCUGAUCCGGAUAAUGCCGGCGUAGGAAUGGUAAGACACUUAUCC